GACGAACGCUGGCGGCGUGCUUAACACAUGCAAGUCGAACGGAAAGGCCCUGCUUUUGUGGGGUGCUCGAUUGGCGAACGGGUGAGUAACACGUGAGUAACCUGCCCUUGACUUUGGGAUAACUUCAGGAAACUGGGGCUAAUCCCGUAUAGGAUCUCCUGCUGCAUGGUGGGGGUUGGAAAGUUUCGGCGGUUGGGGAUGGACUCGCGGCUUAUCAGCUUGUUGGUUGGGUAGUGGCUUACCAAGGCUUUGACGGGUAGCCGGCCUGAGAGGGUGAACGGCCACAUUGGGACUGAGAUACGGACCAGACUCCUACGGGAGGCAGCAGUGGGGAAUAUUGCACAAUGGGAGGAAGCCUGAUGCAGAAACGCCGCGUGCGGGAUGACGGCCUUCGGGUUGUAAACCGCUUUCGCCUGUGACGAAGCGUGAGUGACGGUAAUGGGUAAAGAAGCACCGGCUAACUACGUG
This 468-nucleotide ribosomal RNA is filed under the name uncultured bacterium. RNAcentral's name for it is "partial 16S ribosomal RNA". It matches the Rfam family "Bacterial small subunit ribosomal RNA", at positions 28 to 507 of the family's 1533-position model. The record is from RNAcentral.